AUUGAACGCUGGCGGAAUGCUUUACACAUGCAAGUCGAACGGUAGAGGGGGCAACCCCUCGAGAGUGGCGAACGGGUGAGUAAUAUAUCGGAACGUGCCCAGUCGUGGGGGAUAACGUAGCGAAAGUUACGCUAAUACCGCAUACGAUCUAAGGAUGAAAGCGGGGGAUCGCAAGACCUCGCGCGAUUGGAGCGGCCGAUAUCAGAUUAGGUAGUUGGUGGGGUAAAGGCUCACCAAGCCAACGAUCUGUAGCUGGUCUGAGAGGACGACCAGCCACACUGGAACUGAGACACGGUCCAGACUCCUACGGGAGGCAGCAGUGGGGAAUUUUGGACAAUGGACGCAAGUCUGAUCCAGCCAUUCCGCGUGCAGGAUGAAGGCCCUCGGGUUGUAAACUGCUUUUGUACGGAACGAAAAGGUCUCUCUUAAUACGGGGGACUCAUGACGGUACCGUAAGAAUAAGCACCGGCUAACUACGUGCCAGCAGCCGCCGCCG
Molecule: ribosomal RNA, 496 nt
Filed under: uncultured bacterium
Lineage: Bacteria
Description: partial 16S ribosomal RNA
Rfam family: Bacterial small subunit ribosomal RNA
Source: RNAcentral